UAUUAUGGAAAUAUAUUGGUUUAGAGUCAUUGUGAUGUGUGUAUGUUUUAUGCUUGCAGUGAUGUCUCUGGUACUUUGUGGUCCUUGCAACAUUUCACUCACACAAUCCCCCUUAGGAUCACUUGUAGGGCCGGUUUAGUGGUGAUGAAUGGUGACAAAUUCCUUCAGUUUUUGUUUGUUUGGGAAGACCUUUA
This is a long non-coding RNA of Leopardus geoffroyi (Geoffroy's cat), 194 nucleotides long. RefSeq lists it as uncharacterized. The transcript is spliced from 2 exons. The record is from RefSeq and is a predicted model, not a curated record. Lineage: Eukaryota; Metazoa; Chordata; Mammalia; Carnivora; Felidae.